UUUAAUUUUCCUCGAAAAAGGAGAUUUCUCCUCCCAGGUCAGAGGCUCUUUUGUGUCUGCUCGGCUGCGAGACGGGGACGGAGACAAAGCAGGAUGGGGGAAAACGGAGAGAAGCGAGCCGGGAAAAGCCGGGAAAAGCCGGGAAAAACCGGGAUCGCUGCCCGGGGCUGGGGGCAGAGGGGGCCGUGCCCUGGGUACCGCAUCCACCGCGCGGGGAAUGGGAAAGCGGCGGGGAUGAGCGGCUCGGGAGGCGAGAGAUGGAGAGGCAGGAGAUAAUUUAUGCAGCAGCUCGGCUCGGGGCUGCGGGCGGCCCGGCCCCAGCCGGGUGGGAGGGAUGGAGAGGGAUGGAGAUGGAUGGAGGCCUCCCCCCAUCGCCCCUUCACCCGCCCCCUCCCGCCCCGCAGCCACACACAGCCUCGCAAUCCCCUUUACAAUUAGGAAAGCACCAAUUCAGCACCGCCGGGGCUUUUGUUCCUUCUCUUCUCCGCCGGCCGAGCCUUCCCCGCUACCUCCAAACAGCGCCCGGCGCCUCCUGAAGUUGCUUUGCAGGAUCCCCCCUCCAAAAAAAAUUAAAAAAAAUUAAAAAGACUCGCUGGAGUCCCGCGGGUGAAGCUGCGGGACGAGAGAGGAGGAGGAAAGAAAAGCAAGGAAAAAAAAAAAAAAAAAAGAGGAGCAGGAGGAAGAAAAAAAAAAAAGUAAGACGGCGUUUUCCCGUUUUUUUUUUCUCGCUUUCUUUGUCUGGAGCGGUGCCUGCAGGAGUUGUGUGCGUGAGGGAGAGGGGGCACGGGAGGAAGGCUCAGCCCUCAGCCCGCGGGGGGAUCGGCGCUGGCGGCGGCCUCACCUGGGCAGCACCCCCGGGGAUGCCAGCCCGGAGCAUCCCGAGCUGAAAAUGUGGGAAAAUAUAGAUUUAAUUCUCUCUCGGCGGUGUUGUGGCUGUGGCUUGCUGUGGCUCUGUUCUUGUGGAGGUAGCUGGUGAGCUUGGGGGGAAAAAAAAAAAUGAAAGUGGCUUUGUUUUUGGGUGAAAAUAACCCUGAAGUGGCCAAAAUUCACCUCCGUGUGGGUAUUUGUGAGGCGUGUGGGUAUAUUCAUGCUGUAUUCCCUUUAUUUAUGCUGACAGAGAAUUACAUGCAACACAUGUUAACGUAGUUAUCGGUUAAUUACACGUGAGCUCGUUAACUCUUGCAUUGCGGGGCUGCAAUGGGUGUUCCUGUACAAGAAUUUAAGUUUGUUUUUUUUUACCCCAGGCGAAGCGGGAGCGGGCUCGGGCAUUGUCUGUAGGGAAUAAACCCCGCGGGAGGCGCGUUUGGGGUUUUGAUUUUUGGUUUGAAGGGCACAGGGCAGCUGCUGGUGCCUGCCUGGAUCUCUCUGGGUGCGGGAAGGAUGCGGGAGGAGCCGCAUCCAGCCCUUCCUCCUGCAAAACUUGCAGCUCCAAGCCGGGAGAGGAGGAAGAGGGGGAGAGGAAGGCUCCCCGAGUCCUCUCCGAUGAGGUAAUCCCGAAGAAAGAUAAGGGAAGCGCUGCGUGUAUCAACCUGAGCGGUGAUGUCAGCCAGGAAAAAGCAGAUUAAGGACUCGGAGAGGGGAAUUGCCGCGAUUUUGGCGUCACCCGCUUGCCGCUGUUAAUUCAGGUCUCCCGGAGUUGCUCCCGAGCCUCUCCAGCUCCGGCUGAUGCCCCAGUUCACCUUCGCCUGUUUCUGUGGCCUCCACGGCUUCUGCAAGAUGAAGAGGAAGAAGGAAGAGGCCGGCGGGGGGCAGGAGACGGCCGUGUGAGGGGCGGCUCUGCCCGGGACCCCUCUGUCCCCUCGGCUCCCCGGGGCAGAGCCAGAGCCCGCCCUGACCUUGCCGAGGAUGUCACCCUGAUGUCACCCCGAUGUCACCCCGGUGUCACACAGGUGCCGCUGCCACCCUGCCCGGACACCCCGUCCUCCCUCAUCCCUCUGGGAGCGACAAUUCCAUCCUGAUCCAGCCCAGCUCCAGCAAUUCCCAGCAGAAAGACACGGAAAAAUCCCAAGAAACCGGCCCAGAGCUCAUCCAUGCCAGAGCCGGACGGUGCGAGGUGCAGCUCAUCCUCCCGAUCCCGGAUCCCACCGGAAUUCCUACAAAUCCCUGUCCACGGAUUCCGCCAGAAUUCCUACAAAUCCCUGUCCAUGGAUCCUGCCGGAAUUCCUACAAAUCCCUGUGCCAUGGAUCCCGACGGAAUUCCUACAAAUCCCUGCCCAUGGAUCCCGCCAGAAUUCCUACAAAUCCCUGUCCACGGAUUCUGCCUGAAUUCCUACAAAUCCCUGUCCACUGAUCCCACCAGAAUUCCUACAAAUCCCUGGGACACGGAACCUGCCGGAAUUCCUACAAAUCCCUGUGCCACGGAUCCCACCGGAAUUCCUACAAAUCCCUGUCCACGGAUUCUGCCGGAAUUCCUACAAAUCCCUGUCCACAGAUCCCACUGGAAUUCCUACAAAUCCCUGUGCCACGGAUCCCGCCAGAAUUCCUACAAAUCCCUGGGACACGGAACCUGCUGGAAUUCCUACAAAUCCCUGUGCCAAAAAUCCCGCCGGAAUUCCUACAAAUCCCUGUCCAUGUAUCCUGCCAGAAUUCCUACAAUCCCUGUCCACAGAUCCCUUCGGAGUUCCUACAAACCUCUGUACCACGGAUUCCGCCGGAAUUCCUACAAAUCCCUGUACACUGAUCCCGCCGGAAUUCCUACAAAUCCCUGUCCACAGAUCCCGCCAGAAUUCCUACAAAUCCCUGUCCAUGGAUCCUGCCGGAAUUCCUACAAUCCCUGUGCCACGGAUCCCACCUGAAUUCCUGCAAAUCCCUGUGCCAAAAAUCCUGCUGGAAUUCCUGCAAAUCCCUGUCCACGGAUCCCACCAGAAUUCCUACAAAUCCCUGUCCAUGGAUUCCGUUGUAAUUCCUACAAAUCCCUGUCCACGGAUUUUGCCGGAAUUCCUACAAAUCCCUGUCCACGGAUCCCACCAGAAUUCCUAAAAAUCCCUGGGACACGGAUCAUGCCAGAAUUUCUACAAAUCCCUGGGACACGGAACCUGCUGGAAUUCCUACAAAUCCCUGUCCACAGAUCCCUUCGGAAUUCCUACAAAUCCCUGUCCACGGAUCCCACCAGAAUUCCUACAAAUCCCUGUCCACGGAUUCCGACAGAAUUCCUAAAAAUCCCUGGGACAUGGAACCUGCUGGAAUUCCUACAAACCUCUGUGCCACAGAUUCCGCCGGAAUUCCUACAAACCUCUGUACCACGGAUCCCACCGGAAUUCCUACAAAUCCCUGGGACACGGAACCUCCUGGAAUUCCUACAAAUCCCUGUCCACAGAUCCCGCUGGAAUUCCUACAAAUCCCUGGGACACGGAUCGUGUUGGAAUUCCUACAAAUCCAUAAGCCACGGAUCCUGCUGGAAUUCCUACAAAUCCAUAAGCCACGGAUCCCACUGGAAUUCCUACAAAUCCCUGGGACACGGAUCGUGUCGGAAUUCCUACAAAUCCCUGCCCAUGGAUUCCCGGCAUUCAUGGAAGGAGCCUCCAGCUCCUGGGGAAGGCCGAAAGAUGAAUUUGUUCCCAGCAGCAAUAAUCCUUUUUUUUCCCUUUUUUAACCCCAUCACGCCAAACUUCCCUCGGAGCUGCCCCGCUCACAUUCCCACCGGGAAUUUGGGGUGUGUGACCCCAGGCAGGACAAUUCCAGGAGAUUAAAAAAAAAAAAAAAUCAAAAAAAAGCCCCUUUUUAAAUAUUUUUCUCCCCAGAAAAUCACCAGCUCAAAGCCGUCCCUUCUCCCUUCCACAGGGAGGAUUUUCUUCCAGGUAUUCCCAGUCUUCCUAUAGGCCAAAAUAAUUUGUGGCUGCCCCAAAAAUUGGUGUUUUUCCCAAUGUUAUGCCAAGGACGAAGCUCCAGGUGGGCUCAGGGAAGUUCCUCAGCUUUGGGAAAACGCUGACUUUGUUCUGUUCCUGUUUUUUGCACAUCAGCAGAGCCUCCCCUGUUCCACCUUUGCAUCUGCAGCGCUGCCCUUGGCGAGGACAAUUUGGGAUCAGCUCUGGGCAAAAAAAAAAAAAAAAUCCACAAACCCAAAAAAAAAAAACCAAAAAAAAAACACAAAACAAAAAAAACCCCAAAAACCAGAAAAAAAACCCCCAAAAUCCAAGGAUUUGGUGGAACUCCAAGGGCAGCUCCUGAAUGUAACUUUAUUUUUGCACAAGGAUUUGUGGUGGCCACACGAGGCAUGCAUUUAAGGAUUUAAAUAAGUUGGGAUUCAUCCCUGCUCUGGAAAUGCUCAGGGGUGUUGAGAUAAGGCUGGAAUUCCAGCUUUGUUUUAUUCCAGCAUAAAUCCAGAGGGAGAAUCUGACACUGAGAUACGUAGGAAAAUAUUAAUUAUAGAAAAACGAGCUUGGACUGAUUCCCAUCCCGCAGAUUUCUCCCGUUUCUCCAGGUUUUUCCUAUGCAAAAACACACAAAAAACCAGCAAAAACAAAGCCAGGUCAGCAGCAAAUCCUGACUCAACAAAGCCCCGCUUAAACCUCAGGUUUUGCUUUGGGAUUUUGCUCCACCCCAUCGAUUUUCCUGAUUCCAGCCUGGAAUCCUUGCAGCCUCUCCUGACAAUGAUCAAAGCAUUAAAUCUCUUUUUAUUGUUCUUUUUUUAAUCCCUGCUGCCUGGAUUUCUUCGGGAAAGGACUCCCGAGAUGUACAGCCAUAAGAAUCUGUACUGUACGUUUAAUUUUUGGGGUUUUUUUUGGGGGGGGUGUGGGGAGGGAGGAGGGAAAAAUCAACGUGGCAUUUGUAAAUAAGCACAGGCAUCUUCCACGCACAGAGCAGAGCGCUUCCUAUAGGAAUUCCUAUGCCAGAGGAAUAAAUAAAUUAAUAAAUAAUGAAAUAAA
Non-coding RNA from Taeniopygia guttata (zebra finch), 4865 nucleotides. NCBI's taxonomy places the organism in Eukaryota, Metazoa, Chordata, Aves, Passeriformes, Estrildidae. The record is from RefSeq and is a predicted model, not a curated record.